GCGCCCAUAGCUCAACUGGAUAGAGCGUUUGCCUACGAAGCAAAAGGUCGCAGGUUCGAGUCCUGCUGGGCGCA
Molecule: transfer RNA, 74 nt
Filed under: Elusimicrobia bacterium HGW-Elusimicrobia-1
Lineage: Bacteria; Pseudomonadati; Elusimicrobiota
Description: tRNA-Arg
Rfam family: tRNA
About the family: Transfer RNA (tRNA) molecules are approximately 80 nucleotides in length.
Source: RNAcentral